ACUCACAUUCUUUUGAGCAGGUUUGUACUGCUCAAUAUAGGCGCUUGGGUGGUAUAAUCACCACCUGUGGAUUCUUUGAGAUGUCCGUAAGUAAAGGGAGCAAAUCGCUCACGUCCUAAGGGCUGUAGGACAGGAAAAAGUUACAGGAUUUUUACAAGUCACAAACUCCUCCCCUGUGCCUGAGAGAUAAUUGAGUCAGGAUCUGUUCAAACUCAAUUAUCUCCAAAUACAGAAAAACUUACAAUUUACAAACACCCCAAAAGUACCCCCAAGAUCCAUGGAAACCCCACAAAAGUCACAUCCUCGGAUAGCUCAGAUCUGGGUGACCAACAUAUCCCAAAAUCACCCAGAUUG
Molecule: non-coding RNA, 354 nt
Organism: Pelobates cultripes (western spadefoot toad)
Lineage: Eukaryota; Metazoa; Chordata; Amphibia; Anura; Pelobatidae
Source: the annotation of a GenBank genome assembly